UGCCAGCAGCCGCGGUAAUACGGAGACUGCGAGCGUUACUCGGAUUCACUGGGCGUAAAGGGUGCGUAGGCGGACAGAUGUGUCAGGUGUGAAAGCCCAGAGCUCAACUCUGGAACUGCGCCUGAAACUAUUUGUCUAGAGUAUCGGAGAGGUAAGCGGAAUUCCUAGUGUAGCGGUGAAAUGCGUAGAUAUUAGGAGGAACAUCAGUGGCGAAGGCGACUUUCUGGACUGUACCUGACGCUGAGGCGCGAAAGCAUGGGGAGCGAACAGGAUUAGAUA
This 279-nucleotide ribosomal RNA is filed under the name uncultured bacterium. RNAcentral describes it as "partial 16S ribosomal RNA". It matches the Rfam family "Bacterial small subunit ribosomal RNA", at positions 506 to 784 of the family's 1533-position model. The record is from RNAcentral.